Molecule: long non-coding RNA, 555 nt
Organism: Ictalurus punctatus (channel catfish)
Lineage: Eukaryota; Metazoa; Chordata; Actinopteri; Siluriformes; Ictaluridae
Exons: 3
Source: RefSeq, a predicted model, not a curated record
CAGCAAGUUGUUACGCAUGUGAUUCAGCCAAAGAUCUUCAAAGAAGCCUUGUUAAGAUAAAACAUCACAAUGCCUGGGUCGACAUUUGGUUUUAUUUGUCCCUUCUUACCAUUUUGUCAAUGAGUUGUUUUUGCCUGGAUGUCAAAUUAUUACUAAUGGACUUUCAGUUGUCAAGUACAAUGUCAAACAGCAGAGAUAUGAAGCUGCCAGAGAGGAACUUGGUAAAAUCCUACACACUUUGCAGGAUUUCUACAGUCAUAGUAACUGAAUUGAAAUGGGAAAGAGAGAACCUUAUUCCAACCUCAUUAAACCAGACACCCAAAUUAACAACAUAGCAGAUUAUGGCCCACUUAGAAGAACAACUGAUCCUAAUGUCUUUAAACAACAACUCAAUGCACGUACAGCUACUGGUGGAGGAGAUGCUCCUGAAGUGUCUCUCUCAGGACUCCAGGUAUGAUGCAGUAAUUUCACACCCUGUUGCUAUGUAACUAUCAUGUUACUGAUAUAAGAUUUUUAAUUCACUUAAUGAUUCUUUGAUUAAUUUCUAUUAUGCAU